AGCUGUGCGUCUGGCAGCGCAGGUCCAGCAGCGUGGGCCCCAGGAAGGCGAUGCACAGGCCGAAGCUGAAGAAGACGCUCCAGUAGAAAUGCGACCCAGCCUUGAGCUGCAUCCAGCUCAAGUGUCACCCCCUUCCGGAUAGAGUCGGCGGCUCCCUCCUUCGUGCCAGGGAACCAGCUGUUUCCCUCUGGCCUGGCUUCCCGAUUGCCGUGGGAGAACAGAGCCGGCAGAGAGUCCCGAUCCUUCCCAGUUUCCGGCAUGCAGAGACCCAGGGAUUCACAGACUGCCCCGCCUUCGUCUCCCACCCAGGCCCUGCUCCCAGGCCACGUGGGAGUUGAGCCUACGGGAGAUGGAAGAGAGGCCCAGAUGUCCGAUUCCUCUCAUCUUAAGCCCUGGCUUACGCGGCACUGAUAGAGAUGUCCCCUAAUCCGCCGCCGCUGCUCUCGUCCUUAUCCCUAUUCCCAAGGAGAUUUGCCAAGAGGAUAAACCCAGCCCGAGGACUUGGGCUCCCGGCCCCAUUUUCGGCAUCACCUCCAGGUGGGGGCAGCCAGGGCUAGGCCCCGACGUGGCCGGCACAGGUCCCUGCACGGACUCAGGUAGCUACUUACGAGGUCAAGAGCGUUGAAACACUACCCAUGCUCAAAACCCUUCCAUUAAUAAGCAAUAAUGUCUCAUAUUUACUGAGGACUUGAUGUGUGCCAGACGUGUUUUCAGUACUUUACCUGUGUCGAGGGAGUGGGUACACUGAUAUUUUACCCAUAAGGAAACUGAGGCACAGAGAGGUGAAGUAAGUGGCCCAAGGUCACUCAGCUAAUGAGUGGUCUAGGUGGGAUUUGAACCCUAUGGCUCCAGAGAUGAGGCUCUUAACCACAAGGCUGCCAGGCUUAUACUGCCCUCCUCAGGGUCCUGAGAGCCACGGCCUGACCCCUGACCCUUUUAGGGUACCCUAGGCCACCCCAUCGGAGUCCAGAGUCAGGAUUCUGAACUCUAACCAGCCACGCCCAACCCAGCCCUUGGCUCCCCAACUGAGUGAAGUGCGUCCACACCAGCUCAUAUCACACGGAAUGAGCUUCUUCCCCCACAACCCCAGGCUGCUCAUUCAGAGCUUUGGGGUCCUUAACCUUCAGGACCCCAAAGCUACAGUAUUGCUAUGUUCCGGUCCUUCCUAGACUCUUAGGGACCUGCUUUUCAAACUUCUAUUAGUGUUUGCUACGGAAGUGCUGGAGAAGAGUAUUUAAAAUGAAGAUGCCCAGAGUUCACCACCCCUACCCCAAAAUUCUGACUAUGGAAGUCUGGGGUGGAGCCCAGGAUUCUGCACUCUUAGCAAACCCCAGAUAAUUCUCCCGUCCAAGUGCUAACCAGGCCCAACCCUGCUUAGCUUCCGAGGACAGAUGAGAUUGGUCGCAUUUGGGGUGGUGUGGCCGUGGACAAACCCCAGAUAAUUCUGAAGCAGGGGGUUCCUGAUGCACCCAGCUCUGGGGAACCUGCUCUAAGUGAUCUCAGAGGUGACUGUCCCAAGCCCUUACUCAUGGAAGGGGAGGGGGGCCCAUAAACACCUAAGGGAUGCAUGAGUGUCCCUUUACUCCUGACUUUGUUGUUCAAGUUUCUCUCUUGGAGGUUUAAUAUGUUAUAAAAUGCAGUGGAAGAUCCUGUAGGCUGUAGAUGUGUCCUUCUGUCUUCUGAGGGUCACGGCUGCCUCUCUGGGUUUCAUCACUUAGGCAAAGGAGGAAGCAGGGGGCAGGCCCGCCCCUUGAGAGCUGGGAAGGGCCUUGGGCUGCACCUGUGUUUGCAGACCAGGUUGCUGCUCUCUUGGCCGAAGUCAUAGAGCAGCGCCCCCAAGGCGUGUCCCUCACCUGGGGCAUAAAGGCUUCAGAAUCACCUGUGCUAUUUGUUGAACAUGCAGCUCCCUGUGAAAUUAGAAUGGGCGAGAGGGGCCAGGACCCAGGAAUCUGCACUCCUAUUCAGCACCUCGGUCAUCUCUUACGUACAUGAAUGUUUGAGAAAUCCUGUUAUAGAACGUGGACUUUAGAGUGUCGCAGCCCUGGGUUCAAAUGUCAGCUCUGGCCCAAAGCAGUUAAUCCUCAGGGCCAAUCAAACCGUGAGAAAGUGUAUGCAAGGCACCUGGCACCUAGGAAAUGCGGGCACACCCAGCCUCCUGGUAAAGAGAGAGAUGCUUAAAUAAAUACCUUGUCUGGGAGAGAGGAGCUAGGAGCCUGUUAAAACACUGAGCAUUACUCACCCCGGGGCAAACACUGAGUGGCUUCAAAACAAUUCUGACUUUGCAUUUCCUCUGGGGUGAGCUCAGUGAAGCUGUUAAAGGUGAGAGGUCCUUUCCCAUACUCAGGUGGGAGCCAUCUCAAGGGGGGGGGCAGGUGUUGUGUGUGACAUAUAAUGCAAUACUGGCUCAUCCACAGCCCCCCCCCAUUUCCCCUCUGCUUUACCUUCCCAGACCCCUCCCCGUGCGGCAGGCCCAGGCUGAAAGGCCCUCUUGGCAAGCCACAGGUCUGCCAAGGUCCCGGGGACCCUUAGCCUCCCAGCCAGGAGGCUCCAAGUCCCCUGCCCAGUCCGAUGAUCCAAAGAAAUGGCAGAGCUUUUGAAGAGUUCCAGCCGUUCAUAAUGGGUCGGUCCCGUCCGGAAACGGUCCCCAGCUCUGCUGAGAGCCUGCCAGGCGACUAGGUGACAUCCUGCUCUCAGCUCGUACAAUGGGCACGGGCAGAACAAUGCCGAGUGGGAAAAACAUCCCGCCAGACCGCAGGCUCACAUCCUCC
This is a non-coding RNA of Microcebus murinus (gray mouse lemur), 2768 nucleotides long. Lineage: Eukaryota; Metazoa; Chordata; Mammalia; Primates; Cheirogaleidae. The record is from RefSeq and is a predicted model, not a curated record.